UUCCCUUCCACCGAACAUGCCAGUGUGUCCGCCUCGACGCGUUGCCCGUCAAGAUGCGCGCGAAAGGUGCAAACAUCGGCUCGCGCCCUCUUCCGAGUGUAGCUAUUCAUUUCAAAUUGCCAACAGUGAGAUCCUAUGAGAGCUCA
Caenorhabditis elegans is the source of this 146-nucleotide non-coding RNA. Lineage: Eukaryota; Metazoa; Nematoda; Chromadorea; Rhabditida; Rhabditidae. The record is from Ensembl.